AACGCAUAUUGCACCUCUUGGCUAUUCCGGGAGGUAUACCUGUUCGAGCGCCGUUUAAAAUCUAAGGCAUUGCCUUGCGUUGAUGUAAUCCUAGUAAGGGUUUCAUUGAAACACAUUGGCCGUCUCUCUAUGCCCUGACCGCAGUAAAAUGCGAUAAAGGGAGGCCUAGGGAAAGCAGCCAAAGGCUCCGAAUACAUGGCCUCGGAUCAGGUAGGGUUACCCGCUGAACUUAA
Molecule: unclassified non-coding RNA, 233 nt
Filed under: uncultured soil eukaryote
Lineage: Eukaryota
Description: sequence contains 5.8S rRNA gene, ITS2, 28S rRNA gene
Source: RNAcentral